AGGACGAACGCUGGCGGCGUGCUUAACACAUGCAAGUCGAGCGAUGAAGCUCCUUCGGGAGUGGACUAGCGGCGGACGGGUGAGUAACACGUGGGUAACCUGCCUCAUAGAGGGGAAUAGCCUUUCGAAAGGAAGAUUAAUACCGCAUAAGAUUGUAGUACCGCAUGAUACAGCAAUUAAAGGAGUAAUCCGCUAUGAGAUGGACCCGCGUCGCAUUAGCUAGUUGGUGAGGUAACGGCUCACCAAGGCGACGAUGCGUAGCCGACCUGAGAGGGUGAUCGGCCACAUUGGGACUGAGACACGGCCCAGACUCCUACGGGAGGCAGCAGUGGGGAAUAUUGCACAAUGGGGGAAACCCUGAUGCCAGCAACGCCGCGUGAGUGAUGACGGCCUUCGGGUUGUAAAACUCUGUCUUUGGGGACGAUAAUGACGGUACCCAAGGAGGAAGCCACGGCUAACUACGUGCCAGCAGCUGC
Molecule: ribosomal RNA, 476 nt
Filed under: uncultured bacterium
Lineage: Bacteria
Description: bacterial SSU rRNA
Rfam family: Bacterial small subunit ribosomal RNA
Source: RNAcentral